Long non-coding RNA from Oreochromis aureus, 621 nucleotides. RefSeq lists it as uncharacterized. NCBI's taxonomy places the organism in Eukaryota, Metazoa, Chordata, Actinopteri, Cichliformes, Cichlidae. The record is from RefSeq and is a predicted model, not a curated record. The transcript has 5 exons.
CUCUUUAUUAACCUUUGUAUUCCAAAAAUUUAUCAUGUUUACAAAGUAAUAAAAGUUUAUUUAUUAUACUCCUCAGGUCAUUGAAAGUCUCCUGCACCACUGGGCCAUUCGGCUGAAUCUGGGGAAUAAUAUCUACAUUAUGAACCACUACACGAGCGGUGUGAUCCUCUAUGGAGAGAGAGAACUAAUCAGGAGACAAAGCUUGUCCAAGGUGAACUUUGACAACUAGCGAGCCAUUUUAUCCUUUGUGAACAUUGGAAAUGUACACUGGAAGUUUCUGUACAUAAAUGUGAUAGAUAUAUAGCUGUCUGUAUUUGGUCGAUCCUUCAAGAAACUCUUUGGAGCAGGAAGAGUCUGACCGUGCAGCCAAAAGAUUCCGUGAAUACUUCAAAAUGAGAAGGACAUGCUACAACAAAACAGACUGGGUGAAUGUGAGACUUCGAGGAGUACUGACACAUCCAUUUCAACGGGAUGGUUCUAGCUGCGGAGUAAUGGUCAUCAUGAUGGCCAAAGCAGUAAUGGAAGCAUUCCCAAAUAAACCAGAAAUGACAUUUUUGAUGACAAAAAAAGAGAUGGCCCAGGCACGAAGGACAUUUGCACAAACAAUACUUGAGGCCUCAG